CAGUAGCCACGGUAAAACGAAGGGUGCAAGCGUUAAUCGGAAUUACUGGGCGUAAAGCGUGCGUAGGCGGUGAGUUAAGUCUGCUGUGAAAGCCCUGGGCUCAACCUGGGAAUUGCAGUGGAUACUGGGUCACUAGAGUGUGGUAGAGGAUAGUGGAAUUUCCGGUGUAGCAGUGAAAUGCGUAGAGAUCGGAAGGAACAUCUGUGGCGAAGGCGACUAUCUGGGACAACACUGACGCUGAGGCACGAAAGCGUGGGGAGUAAACAGGAUUAGAUACCCCUGUAGUCCAUGUCUCUUAUAC
Molecule: ribosomal RNA, 301 nt
Filed under: uncultured bacterium
Lineage: Bacteria
Description: partial 16S ribosomal RNA
Rfam family: Bacterial small subunit ribosomal RNA
Source: RNAcentral